Molecule: non-coding RNA, 102 nt
Filed under: Alicyclobacillus acidoterrestris
Lineage: Bacteria; Bacillati; Bacillota; Bacilli; Caryophanales; Alicyclobacillaceae
Also listed under: 1 other name
Description: Guanine sequence
Rfam family: Purine riboswitch aptamer
About the family: Riboswitches are metabolite binding domains within certain messenger RNAs that serve as precision sensors for their corresponding targets. Allosteric rearrangement of mRNA structure is mediated by ligand binding, and this results in modulation of gene expression. A class of riboswitches that selectively recognises guanine and becomes saturated at concentrations as low as 5 nM.
Source: RNAcentral
GUGUGUAAACAGAAUAGUGCUCGUAUAAUCGCGGGAAUAUGGCCCGCAAGUUUCUACCAGGCAACCGAGAAUUGCCUGACUACGAGUGGAAGCGCAUCUAGG